CAGUACUCUAGCUUGGGGAGUGAACUUUCCUGCUCACCUGGUGGUUGUCAAAGGAACCGAAUACUAUGAUGGGAAAUCCAAGCGCUAUGUGGACUACCCCAUUACAGAUGUUUUGCAGAUGAUGGGGAGAGCCGGUCGUCCUCAGUUUGAUGACCAAGGCAAAGCUGUUAUUCUGGUCCAUGACAUCAAGAAGGAUUUCUACAAGAAGUUCCUCUACGAACCUUUCCCUGUUGAAUCAAGCCUCCUCAACAUGCUGUCAGACCAUUUGAAUGCUGAAGU
This is a long non-coding RNA of Nematolebias whitei (Rio pearlfish), 279 nucleotides long. RefSeq lists it as uncharacterized. The record is from RefSeq and is a predicted model, not a curated record. The transcript is spliced from 3 exons. NCBI's taxonomy places the organism in Eukaryota, Metazoa, Chordata, Actinopteri, Cyprinodontiformes, Rivulidae.